CACCUGUGCAGCAGGUGCACCAGUGCAAUGCGAUGCCAGGCUCUGGUUCAAGCCCAGGCCUUGGUGACCAGUGAGCUGGAAAGGCUCCAGGACCGGCUGGCCUGGUGCAGCAGUGACAAAGUCAGACACCGUGGAUUCAGGGCGUAGAGAGCUGCAGGUGAAGUGACGGCUGGCAGCUGUGCCCAGUGUGUGGAUGACCACACGCACCUCAUCCCAGCAAUGACCAAGGAGAUGAAGGCGUCCGACUCUGUUCUCCACGGGAAGUAGAGCUGAUUGCCAGUGGCCAUGGGGCUACUGGAGGCCAUUUAAAAGGAAGAAUGAACAUUUAGUCUGUUAAACAGAGUUUAUCAAUGUGGAAAACGGGACACACAAGUUCCAGGCAAAUGGCGCUAACCUCUGACACAGUUGCUUUGCAUCUGGAUCUUGGAAGUGGCACAAAGUGGAUUUAAGACACAGAGCAAUUUGAAAAACUUCUCAAGGUUGUAUUUUCUGGCCAUAAAGAUGGGAAAGUUCAUUUCUUCAAAUUUUGUUAUUCUGGAAGCCCCUGAAGAAACAGGGCAGUGUUGUUCUGCGUGGAGAAGUUUCCUUCACUGAUUUCUGCAGCAAGAUCCAGAUGCAUAACUGUCAGCUGCUUCUCCAGCACUGUGUCUCCUGUGUCUCCCCAUGAUCCCUGUCAGGAUAAAGACGGCCCAAACCCUUGAAACUGUAAGCAGAUCCCAACUGAAUAUUUCCUUCUAUGAGUUGCUGUGGUCAUGGUGCCCUUUCAUAGCAACAGAACACUGACAAAGACAUCAUAGGGGUUGUGUAUUUUGUAUUCUGUAGCAAUGCAAAAGUAACUUAAUAGCUCUAUUAUCGUCUUUGACAUUGGAUUUUGUGAGUUUGCAUCUGGGUAAGACACCAUGUAUGUGUACAUCUGUACAUGUUUGAAGGUAAUCAUGUCACCUAUGACAUACUUUAAUUUUUUUGUUCCCAAAAGGAAGUCUUUUGUUUCUUUUUCUUACCGACUGCAACAGACAGAACAAUGUGAAACACGCGUAAACAGAAAGGAAACCCUUGUCUUCUACACUAUCUGAGGGAAAAAGUAUCUGGUUCUACCAUUAUAUUGAAAAUGUUACCCAUUUGUGUUUUUCAUCGGAACUUUUUACCAGCUUGAGAAAUGAUAGUUCUAGUCUUACUUUAUAAAGAACUUCCAUCAGGAAUGAAUUUUGGAUUCUGUCCAGCGUUUUCUUGAAUGAGUUAGA
Mesocricetus auratus (golden hamster) is the source of this 1241-nucleotide long non-coding RNA. RefSeq lists it as uncharacterized. The transcript has 3 exons. The record is from RefSeq and is a predicted model, not a curated record. Lineage: Eukaryota; Metazoa; Chordata; Mammalia; Rodentia; Cricetidae.